AAGUAUGAAUCGCCGCCGCCACCACCAUACAAGUAUGAAUCGCCUCCUCCACCACCAUAUAAGUACGAAUCGCCACCGCCACCACCAUACAAGUACGAGUCGCCUCCUCCACCUCCGUACAAGUAUGAAUCGCCUCCUCCCCCACCAUACUACUACAAAUCACCACCACCACCUCCUUACAAGUAUGAAUCUCCCCCUCCACCUCCAUAUUACUACAAAUCUCCACCCCCGCCACCACCUUACUACUACAAAUCACCACCACCACCUUCUCCUGUCUACAAAUAUAAAUCUCCACCACCACCACCUUACAAGUACGAAUCUCCUCCUCCACCUCCAUACUAUUACAAGUCUCCACCACCACCGCCGUAUUACUACAAGUCUCCACCACCACCACCUCCAGUUUACAAAUACAAAUCUCCUCCUCCGCCACCAUAUUACUACAAAUCACCACCUCCUCCAUCACCAGUAUAUUACUACAAAUCUCCUCCUCCACCAGCGUAUUACUACAAAUCUCCCCCACCGCCUGUCUACUAUUACAAAUCCCCGCCACCUCCAGCUUACCACUACCAAUCGCCACCCCCACCAAGUUACAAGCUGGUAGUGGUCACGGGCAAGGUCUAUUGCAACAGAUGCUGGAACACCACAAGCAGAUACCUUCAGGCAUCACCACAUGGGUCUGCUAGGUACAUUCUCAAUUGCAUUGUAUUCGAUAUUGUUCUCCUCACUCAUUUCCUCUUGAUACUGUGUGCAAUAAUGCAGGUGGCAAAGUGAAGAUCACAUGUGGCGAAUCUUACUACUACGGCUACACCAACAAGCAUGGAAUCUUUAGAAUUGAGCUCCCGCACCAAUCCUGGGAAGAAGCAAGCAGCUGCAAGGCCAAGAUUAUCAAGAGCAGCUACAUCAAGUCGUCAUGCAAUGUCAUCACGGACUACAGGUCUGGUGCAACAGGGGCCAAGCUCAAGUUCAAAUCGAAAACAGAGAAGGAGCUCGUCUUGACAGCCGGUCCUUUCAUCUAUGCAACUCCAGAGCCAUCGUCAGUCUGCUUCUACACAUCACCUCCCUAUGAGUACAAGUCACCUCCGCCACCAACACCGGUCUACCAUUACGCCUCUCCGCCACCUCCGGUCUACUACUACAAAUCGCCACCUCCUCCUUCACCGGUUUACUACUACAAAUCCCCUCCUCCUCCUUCGCCGGUCUACUAUUACAAAUCCCCGCCUCCACCACCAUACUAUUACAAGUCCCCACCUCCACCUCCGCCUAAGUAUUACUACAAGUCGCCCCCACCACCGUCUCCAUACUAUUACAAAUCCCCGCCCCCUCCACCGUACUAUUACAAAUCCCCACCACCACCUCCCUACAAAUACGAAUCGCCGCCGCCUCCUCCUUACAAAUACGAGUCCCCACCUCCACCACCUUACUAUUACAAGUCCCCACCACCACCUCCAUACAAAUAUGAAUCCCCGCCACCUCCAGUCUACAAAUAUGAGUCUCCGCCAC
This 1500-nucleotide long non-coding RNA is filed under the name Selaginella moellendorffii. RNAcentral's name for it is "long non-coding RNA (SMOE_LNC002368)". Lineage: Eukaryota; Viridiplantae; Streptophyta; Lycopodiopsida; Selaginellales; Selaginellaceae. The record is from RNAcentral.